Molecule: ribosomal RNA, 680 nt
Filed under: uncultured Enterobacteriaceae bacterium
Lineage: Bacteria; Pseudomonadati; Pseudomonadota; Gammaproteobacteria; Enterobacterales; Enterobacteriaceae
Description: bacterial SSU rRNA
Rfam family: Bacterial small subunit ribosomal RNA
Source: RNAcentral
GUAAACGAUGUCGACUUGGAGGUUGUGCCCUUGAGGCGUGGCUUCCGGAGCUAACGCGUUAAGUCGACCGCCUGGGGAGUACGGCCGCAAGGUUAAAACUCAAAUGAAUUGACGGGGGCCCGCACAAGCGGUGGAGCAUGUGGUUUAAUUCGAUGCAACGCGAAGAACCUUACCUGGUCUUGACAUCCACGGAAGUUUUCAGAGAUGAGAAUGUGCCUUCGGGAACCGUGAGACAGGUGCUGCAUGGCUGUCGUCAGCUCGUGUUGUGAAAUGUUGGGUUAAGUCCCGCAACGAGCGCAACCCUUAUCCUUUGUUGCCAGCGGUCCGGCCGGGAACUCAAAGGAGACUGCCAGUGAUAAACUGGAGGAAGGUGGGGAUGACGUCAAGUCAUCAUGGCCCUUACGACCAGGGCUACACACGUGCUACAAUGGCGCAUACAAAGAGGAGCGACCUCGCGAGAGCAAGCGGACCUCAUAAAGUGCGUCGUAGUCCGGAUUGGAGUCUGCAACUCGACUCCAUGAAGUCGGAAUCGCUAGUAAUCGUGGAUCAGAAUGCCACGGUGAAUACGUUCCCGGGCCUUGUACGCACCGCCCGUCACACCAUGGGAGUGGGUUGCAAAAGAAGUAGGUAGCUUAACCUUCGGGAGGGCGCUUACCACUUUGUGAUUCAUGACUGGGGUG